CCCAACAGCCAUAAAGCUUUUCUCCUCAUCAGGAGUGACAUGUUUCUGAGCCCGGGCUUACACAUAUUUGUUUGCUGACAGCCGGCUGCGUCUUCGCUCCUCUGAGCUGCAGAGCAGAGGAGUGAAGAGCUUCAGCCCACAUGUCUUUCCCCUCAGGCUGAUAAAGUGCUCAGAUAAGCUGGGAGGUGCUGGUGAAAAGUGGCUGGCCCUCAGCCCCCACGGCUACAAUAUGAAAGAGUGGCUUGUCUGGAGCAAAACAGAACAGGGAAGGUGAUGAGGCUGGAAAAAAAAAAAAAAAGUAUGGAGAACUUCAGAAGAAAUGAGAAGGAAUAAUGAUGAAGUAGUCCAAGAGCAGGAUGUGUGUCUGCGUGAGCUUGUGCAGGAAUGCUGCAGCAGUCAAACGCUUGCAGAUUAUGGGUCAUUUCCUGACAGUUAAAGGGACCCAGCUGUGCGCCCUGGAGGUCCUGAUCUCAAACUUGGGCAAAAUCGUCCCGGUGUGGCCAAGUUGCAGCCUCCAAGCGUGGGUUAGCCAUGACCUGAUGUUUCAGRAGCCUCAGUGAAUUGAUGGGUCCCARGAGAGCUGUCACAAGGGCCAAUGAACAAUCACCCAUUCAUCCCUGCAGCCACAGCAAGGGGGCAAAUGCUCUGCAGCCCCACAAAUCUUGCAAAAAAGACUGUUUAAUUGGAAUCUAAUAUGCACUGUGUUUUCCUGAUACUUAAAAAGUUGCAGUAUUUCUUGUUUUUAUAAGCAACACAUUUGAAAAAAAUAAAAAUAAUAAUUUUAGAAAAGUAUACUAAAUGUUCCUUCCAAGGCCUGUAUAUGUUUGGCCUUGCUGACCUGCUUUGAGCUUCUUCAGACGCCAAAAUGCACGCUUCCUUUAAGGACUCUGAGCCAGAUCAGCCAUCUAGAUCAGUCCUUACAUAGAGAAAAUAGGUGUUUUCACUGCGUGCGCCCAAAUUCACUUACCAUGACCAAGUCAGCCAACAUUUCCACAGCCUAAGUUUCCUCUUUUGCUCCUGAAGACAAGGAGCUCGGAGGUCAACAGAACAUCAGUUACAUUUUUUAUGUGACUUACACCAGUUGGUUAUUUAUAGAGCUAAAGCAAAUAUACAACAGAGAAGGAGAGUAGCAGUUUAGGCAAGAGGCAGGUUAAGCUAAGGAACAUCUGUCCUUUCAAAGGCAUCUCCUGCCUGGCAUGCCCAGUAUCCACUCCUUGGGUGUCACAGAGCUGCCAUGCAAGUCAAAACAAAGCUGAAGAGAGGGGAGUGAAGAACCUCAUCCAGGGCCAGUCUUCCAUGUCACCGAGUACAAUGUGUUGUUCCCAGAAAGUCACUUGACUCCAGACAGAGCAGGGUCGGUUCCACCGAGGAGCCAGGGACAUGGAAGCGCUGACAGGGGGAAAAUGGCUAAAUCUGGAAUAUUUACGUGGUUGCUUUAAUGUACCCAUGUUGAUUAAUAUGCACUGCCCCUUAUAAAAUAAAUUCAAAUUCAAAUCAGUUGUCAAAGAGUACAAAAUCUCUCCAAUCUCGAUUUUUUUUCUGAUAUUUGCUUUUCUGGAUCAUUUAGUUUAAACUGCAAUUUGUAGAUAUUUUAGUCUUAAAAAUGUGUCAUUCGGCAGUAAAUUAAAAAGAAGGCAAAUUUUGAUCARUGUGAUGAUCCCAAAUUAUAGAAAUGUCAAAAAAAAAAAGUGAACAGAAGAAAGUGGAAAAAYGCAAUGUUUUGGAAGAGUUAGAAAGAGAAUGACUAGGGAAGGGAGCAGUUGUGCCGGUGCUCAGUGGAGCACUCGGGCCGGUGACCCCCACUCUGGAGAGGGGGCUCCAACACAUACCUGGAGAAGCAUCAGAUAUCUCAGUGCGGAAGAGGGGAGUCCUGAGAACAGCAAAGAGUGAGUCUGUCUGUUUGUCUGUCUGUCUAUUUAUUGCUUGUUCAUGCCGGAGUGAAGAUGGGCAUCAGUACUUGAAGGAAAUAGCAAACAACAGCAGCUCUAUGAAAAUGGUACAUUUUCAGAAAACUGAAAGAAGAAAAACAAAACAAAAAGAAUCAGACUGUUCAUGGAGGUCASMAGGCAGAGGAAAGCAACACUGCGAGAA
Poecilia reticulata (guppy) is the source of this 2091-nucleotide non-coding RNA. Lineage: Eukaryota; Metazoa; Chordata; Actinopteri; Cyprinodontiformes; Poeciliidae. The record is from RefSeq and is a predicted model, not a curated record.